GAUGAACGCUGGCGGCGCGCCUAACACAUGCAAGUCGAACGAUUAAAGCACCUUCGGGUGUGUAUAAAGUGGCGAACGGCUGAGUAACACGUGGGCAACCUGCCCCUUUCAUUGGGAUAGCCACGGGAAACCGUGGAUAAUACCGAAUACUUCGAGACUUCCGCAUGGAAGACUCGAGAAAGCUCCGGCGGAGAGGGAUGGGCCCGCGGCCUGUUAGCUUGUUGGUGGGGUAACGGCCUACCAAGGCAAUGAUGGGUAGCUGGGUUGAGAGACCGACCAGCCAGAUUGGGACUGAGACACGGCCCAGACUCCUACGGGAGGCAGCAGUGGGGAAUCUUGCACAAUGGGCGAAAGCCUGAUGCAGCGACGCCGCGUGCGGGAUGAAGGCCUUCGGGUUGUAAACCGCUUUCAGCAGGGACGAGGCGAAAGUGACGGUACCUGCAGAAGAAGCCGCGGCGAACUACGU
This 466-nucleotide ribosomal RNA is filed under the name uncultured bacterium. RNAcentral describes it as "partial 16S ribosomal RNA". It matches the Rfam family "Bacterial small subunit ribosomal RNA", at positions 28 to 506 of the family's 1533-position model. The record is from RNAcentral.